GAAAGCAAAAGAUAGGACCCCAGGCAUAGCAAAUAUGUUGCUGUGACCCUCAUGUGUUCAACCUUUACUGUCUGCCCACCUUCGCUUGCUUGGACAGCUUCGUGGCAAGAGGUUCUCUUCACCACCAGCUAUGAUUCCUUCCACUUUCCCUCCAAUCAACAUCCUCUUCUGAUCUCACAGGUAUUUCUCAGGCCUCUUGAAAUAUUGAAAAUAGCAUGAGAAUGAACUUUAUUUCACCUGCAAGCCCUUAGAUUGCAAGGCUGGGAACAGAUCUGAUCUAAUCUGAUUCAUCGGAUGAGGAACAUGAAACUCAAAGACAAAUGAACCUCCCAAGCUACAAACUCCA
Molecule: long non-coding RNA, 346 nt
Filed under: Homo sapiens (human)
Lineage: Eukaryota; Metazoa; Chordata; Mammalia; Primates; Hominidae
Description: HSALNT0026357
Source: RNAcentral